Molecule: transfer RNA, 82 nt
Filed under: Variovorax sp. RA8
Lineage: Bacteria; Pseudomonadati; Pseudomonadota; Betaproteobacteria; Burkholderiales; Comamonadaceae
Description: tRNA-His
Source: RNAcentral
GCGGCGGUCUGGGGCAUGGCGCUCGUUCGUCUUGUGGAGACGAGAAGCUUCUGGUCACGACCGUCUGGUGAACCGAUGCACC